RNAcentral lists this ribosomal RNA (472 nucleotides) under uncultured bacterium. Its description in RNAcentral is "partial 16S ribosomal RNA". It matches the Rfam family "Bacterial small subunit ribosomal RNA", at positions 28 to 507 of the family's 1533-position model. The record is from RNAcentral.
GACGAACGCUGGCGGCGUGCUUAACACAUGCCAGUCGAACGCUGAAGCUUGGUGCUUGCACUGGGUGGAUGAGUGGCGAACGGGUGAGUAAUACGUGAGUAACCUGCCCUUGACUCUGGGAUAAGCCUGGGAAACUGGGUCUAAUACUGGAUACGACAUGUCACCGCAUGGUGGUGUGUGGAAAGGGUUUUACUGGUUUUGGAUGGGCUCACGGCCUAUCAGCUUGUUGGUGGGGUAAUGGCUCACCAAGGCGACGACGGGUAGCCGGCCUGAGAGGGUGACCGGCCACACUGGGACUGAGACACGGCCCAGACUCCUACGGGAGGCAGCAGUGGGGAAUAUUGCACAAUGGGCGGAAGCCUGAUGCAGCGACGCCGCGUGAGGGAUGACGGCCUUCGGGUUGUAAACCUCUUUCAGCACGGAAGAAGCGAAAGUGACGGUACGUGUAGAAGAAGCGCCGGCUAACUACGUG